This 492-nucleotide ribosomal RNA is filed under the name uncultured bacterium. RNAcentral describes it as "partial 16S ribosomal RNA". It matches the Rfam family "Bacterial small subunit ribosomal RNA", at positions 29 to 507 of the family's 1533-position model. The record is from RNAcentral.
AGUGAACGCUGGCGGUAGGCCUAACACAUGCAAGUCGAACGGCAGCACAGUAAGAGCUUGCUCUUACGGGUGGCGAGUGGCGGACGGGUGAGGAAUACAUCGGAAUCUACUUUUUCGUGGGGGAUAACGUAGGGAAACUUACGCUAAUACCGCAUACGACCUACGGGUGAAAGCAGGGGAUCUUCGGACCUUGCGCGAUUGAAUGAGCUGAUGUCGGAUUAGCUAGUUGGCGGGGUAAAGGCACACCAAGGCGACGAUCCGUAGCUGGCCUGAGAGGAUGAUCAGCCACACUGGAACUGAGACACGGUCCAGACUCCUACGGGAGGCAGCAGUGGGGAAUCUUGGACAAUGGGCGAAAGCCUGAUCCAGCCAUACCGCGUGGGUGAAGAAGGCCUUCGGGUUGUAAAGCCCUUUUGUUGGGAAAGAAAAGCAGCAGGUUAAUACCCCGCUGUUCUGACGGUACCCAAAGAAUAAGCACCGGCUAACUUCGUG